AAUGGGCGGAAGCCUGAUGCAGCGACGCCGCGUGGGGGAUGACGGUCUUCGGAUUGUAAACCCCUUUCAGUAGGGACGAAGCGCAAGUGACGGUACCUGCAGAAGAAGCACCGGCCAACUACGUGCCAGCAGCCGCGGUAAUACGUAGGGUGCGAGCGUUGUCCGGAAUUACUGGGCGUAAAGAGCUCGUAGGCGGUUUGUCGCGUCGUCUGUGAAAACUCGGAGCUUAACUCCGGGCGUGCAGGCGAUACGGGCAGACUUGAGUACUACAGGGGAGACUGGAAUUCCUGGUGUAGCGGUGAAAUGCGCAGAUAUCAGGAGGAACACCGGUGGCGAAGGCGGGUCUCUGGGUAGUAACUGACGCUGAGGAGCGAAAGCAUGGGUAGCGAA
This 390-nucleotide ribosomal RNA is filed under the name uncultured bacterium. RNAcentral's name for it is "bacterial SSU rRNA". It matches the Rfam family "Bacterial small subunit ribosomal RNA", at positions 370 to 772 of the family's 1533-position model. The record is from RNAcentral.